RNAcentral lists this long non-coding RNA (15400 nucleotides) under Gossypium barbadense (sea-island cotton). Its description in RNAcentral is "long non-coding RNA (GBAR_LNC006050)". Lineage: Eukaryota; Viridiplantae; Streptophyta; Magnoliopsida; Malvales; Malvaceae. The record is from RNAcentral.
CGUGACCCAAAGAACCUAAAUCGACCCAAACAAAUCAGACCCAAUAAGUUGCACCUCAAAAGCCCGAACGCUUAACCCUAGGUCAGGAACCCUAGGGUUUCUGCAUCUUUUAGCGCCGUAAGCUAUGCAGGGCCGUUCCAACUUCUGAAGCAAGAGCCAUCAAUGCCCCUAUCCCCCACGUCACCUCAGCUGGCCCUAAUCAAUGAGUUGUCCAGAAACGUCGGGGUACUCCGAGAGUCACCACUGUCGGUGCACCGUAAUCUCAGGCCUCAUACCUCCGUUAACGCCGAGAUCGUCGGGAUACCUGCAAAAUAAAAAAGGAAAUACAGCAAAUGCGAACAAAUAGAGCAAGAAAGAGAAAACUGAAACAAAAAAAUCUCAGCAGAUCAAGGACAAAGAUACGGUGGAUGUAGUAGACAAAAAAUGGUAAGAAAAUAAGAGAUUUCUUUCUCAGCUUAUGUAAUAAAUCAGUGGCUAUAAAAAGCCCCUUUGUAACCUUUAUAACAUUUUUACAAAGAGACAGAAAUAAAAAAGAGAUAUACAAACAAAAAUCAGUAAACAAACAGACGAACAGAGGUGAUAUUUCAUUUUCUUUCCUUUCGAUAUUUAUGGUUUUUUGGUACAAUACAUAACAAAAUACUUUAAAAAGAAGCAGUAAAAGGUUACCCUUCGAUUCAUCGCGAAGAGGAUAGGGUUUUGAAAGCCCUAACCGCCGGGUUUCAAGACCCAGACAGUGGCGCGUGAGGCAUGUGGGGCCGAAGGCGGUGGUGCUCUGGGAUGAGCUAGGAUGGCCACAGGCCAGAGCUCUAAGAGAAUUUAGUUUUCUUUCUUUUGUUUUUUUUUAUGAGUGUUUAAAAUGAAUUUUUUUAAGUUUUUUUACUUUUAUAACAUUGGUAAAACGACAACGUUUCUGCUUAAUUCAACAAGCAUUAAAACGGUAUCGUUUAAACAACAGGAUCCACGCGUUGACCCGAUUACCCGGGAAGGAUCCGCGUGUUUUUUUGAUAAAUGGGUUAAUUACCCAAUUAGUCCCUCUACCCUUUUUAUGUUUUCAAUUUGUUUUAUUUUAUUUAUGAUUUAUCCCUGAUGUUUUGUUUUAGUUCUAAUUUAGUCCCUACAGUAUCUAUUUUAAAGUCCAAGAUUAAAACGCAGUCGUUUUGGGAAUAGGGCAAUUUUCCCAAUGAGUCCCUUUUGUUUUACGCGCGUUUUAAUUAGGGCCUUAAUUCAGUUUUAUUUCUUUUAAAUUCGCCCUAAAAUUUUGAUGAAUUUUAAUUUUAAUCCUAUAUUUAUUUUAUUAUUAUUAUUAUUCUAUAUAUAUUUUUAUAUAUUGAUAUUUAACCUUACUUUUAUAUUAUAUAAAUUAUUUUAUAUAUGUAUUAUUUAUAUUAUCUAUUAUUUUUCAUAAAUUAUUAUUAUUUUACAUCAUUAUUUUAUAUAUUAUUAUUAUAUCUUUACUUGUUAUAUAUUAAUUAUUUAUACACAUUGUCUUUAUAUAUAAACUUUCAUUAUUUUAUAUUAUAUCUAUUAUAUAUCUUAUUUCCUAUAUAUUUAAAUUAUAUUUUAUAACAUUUAUUAUAUUUUAUUUUAUUAUAUAUUACUUACUAUUAUUUUUAUAUAUGUUAUGUGUAUCAUAUAUUAUCUAUUAUAUUACUCAUUAUAAGAUUUAUAAAUUAAAUUAUAUUUUAAACUCAUAUCAUAUAUAUAUUAAAUUAUUAAUUAUGUUUUAUUUUAUUUUAAAAAGAUGUUUUAUGUUAUGUAUUAUUUUAUAAAUCCUUUUACCUACUUUUAUUUUAUAUAUUUUUUAUAAUUAUUAUUCUCUUAUAAAUGUUUUGUUAUUAUGUUUUAUAUUGUAUAGCAAAUACUAUUUUAAAAUUAUUAUUAUUAAAUAUUAUGUCUUUAUUUGUGUUAUAUGUAUAUUUUGUUUAUAAUAACUCAUUUCAUUUUAUUUUAUUUUGUAUAUACCAUGUAUUAAAUGUUAUUUUAUCUAUUAUUUGAUAUUACAUUUCAUGAACAUGUACAUUGAUAUUAUAUUACUCUUUUUGUAUAUCAUACAUUAUUUAAUUAUUACUUUGUAUGUUUGUAUGUUUAUUCAUUCUUAAUACAUGCUAUAUAUAUAUCUUUGUAUGCAUAUUGGUAAUACCUGCUAUAUAUGUAUUAUUUUUAUAUGUAUGUAUCUAAUGCACAAACUUUAUAUUAUUGCCAUCAUUUUGCUUAAAUGUAUGUAUUAUGUUACUAUGUGUGAUUUAUAAUGCAAUAUAAUUCCUCAUGCAUCAUUUAAAAAAAAAAACGAGACUCUACAGUUUUUAAAAAAAUAUAAAGGCAAUGCUUGGUGUUUGGAAAUUUCAAAAAAGUAGUGCCCUAACUUAUUGGGUUGCAACUUUUCUCGUUGAGUUCGAAUAAUCAAGUACCCUUCUAAGUUUUAAAGACUUUCAAAAUAUAAGCGACUGUCUUGGAACAGCAAAGCGAUAUGUCCUAACUUAUUGGAUGUAGCGUUUUGUCGUUUCGAGAUAGGGAUUUCUAAAAAGGCUAACUUAGUGUCAAUACUUUGAUACGAGUAAACCCAAAUUUUCAAAAAUCAAAAUAUUUUAAAGAGGAUCAUAUCUUAAAAUUUUCAAAAUUUCCGACAUUAAAGACAUUUGAUAAUCAAUUCGGCACCAAUUCUUGGGUGUUACGAGGGUGCUAAUCCUUCCUCGUAUGUAACCGACUCCCGAACCCGUUUUCUGAUUUCGUAGACCAAAACUAAUGAUUUUAAAACAAAAUAUUUUUAAGGUGAUCCAACACACCUAAAAAGAUUGGUGGCGACUCUCAUUUUCGUUUUUUAAAAUCGAUUCCCAUUUUCCAAAACUUGAUUUGAAAAUGGUCUCGACAGCUUGGCAACUCCAUUGGGGACCAAUAAGAGAGUCAAGCGUGUAAUUGAUUAUCUCUUGUCUUAAUGUCGGAAAUUAAAAAUUUUAAAAUUUAAUCCUCUUUGCAUUACAUCUGUUUAUAUUAUUGAAUGUGUUAUAUAUUCUGAAACACAUUGCAUUUGCAUGACCGUUGUGGUCACACCCUUAAGUGGGAGUGAAAAACUACGCCUUCGUGAGGUUUUCGCCUCCGUGCAGGAUAGUGGAUCACUUUUGGGAUACAUCCGUACCUAUGGUUUCGUGAGAUUUUCAUCUCCGUGCAGCCAUAGGGAAAUGUAUUCCCUCGAACUGAACUCAUUUCAAAUGAGCCUAUAAUGGGUGAGAAUCGAGGAAUCUGCUGGUUCGGGUACCUUAAACUUUAGAACUAGCCUCAUAUAGAAAACCGUAAGAACCCAGUUUAGUUAGAUAUUAAACUUUAGAUAUUACCUUAUAAGUUACUAUUGAGAUUUAUUGAUAUCAUGUGGUUCUAACUUUUCUUUUUCUUUUGUUUGCAUGUCAUUUUGCAUUACAAAGGUAUCGAUUCACAGUCAGUUUCUAAGAUAGAGAGUUUUAUUAUGGAGAACGGACUUCUUGAUAGAGUGGAGGGCAACACCAAUGUCCAUAGAUGGUCUGAGCAAACUCAACUAGAAAAGGGAGAUAGUGUAGCUGUUGGAUACGUGUUGGCGCUGCCAGAUUACACUCGCAUCAGUGUCACGCAGAAUAAUCUCCAAGACCUUAAGGAGAUUUGGGAUCAGUGGGACAACGAGACUAAACAUUUAUUCUACGGUAAUUACGGAGACUUACCUUACUUGCUUGAUGUUCAGGUAGACGAGCAUUUGUUCCGAGCCCUUGCACAGUUUUGGAACCCAGCGUACAGUUGUUUCACUUUUGGGGAAGUAGACUUGGUACCUACUGUGGAGGAGUAUACGGCUUUACUUCGUUGCCCUAGGUUUCAGAGUGAUAGGAUCUAUUCUCGAGCUGCUUGUGUCCCUGCCUUUUGGAAGAAAUUAAUGACUAUUACGGGGAUGAGCGAGCAGUGGAUCAUGGCCAGAAUCAAAGAAAAGGGUGAGUACAAAAGCAUUUCAUGGGACGCUUUGAAAGGUCUGAUUUUGUCACACCCUGAUGAGGCGAAGAAGGUAGAUGUUUUUGCUUUAAGUUUGUAUGGAUUAAUGAUUUUCCCUAAGGCUUUGGGAUAUGUGGAUGAGGCAACCACAGAUCUUUUUCAUCGACUCGGUAAGAGAGUUACUCCCAUUCCUGCAAUUCUAGUGGAGACGUUCAGGUCUUUAGGUGCAUGUAGGAGGGCUGGUGUAGGCAGGUUUGUUGGUUGUGCUCAGUUGCUUUUAGCUUGGUUCUACAGUCAUUUCAGAUUGAUAGAUAAGGUUGUCUGUCGGGUUUUCUUUGAGGAUUACUCGCCCUUGAAGGACAUAGUAGCUUCAACAAAGAGAGUUGAGGUUCUAGAGGAGAAUUGGAUGGCGCUGCUUCAGAAUCUUCAGUCAAAGGAUGUUGAGUGGAGGGCUCCGUGGAUGAUUCUUGGUGAGAUUCUUUACCGAUGCGAUAGUUUCGAUUGGGUCCCUCUGUUGGGAGUUUGGGGAGCUAUUGGUUAUGCCCCUUUACUUGUGUUGAGGAAAUUCGGUUUGAGGUAGUUCGUGCCAGCAACCCAUGGGUUGGCUCGAAGUGAGUUCAUGUAUAGAGGAGCCGACUACAAGAAGAAAGUCAGUGAGAUCUCUAGUGCUUGAAACAAGACUUGUCGGUUGAAGGGAGUAGCUAUUAGCCCUGCUACGACUCCAAAAUAUAUUGAAUGGAGAAGCAGAAGGAUUGACGAUAACAUCUCCAAGCCAAGUGGAGAAGAAGUUCGACCGAUGGAGGAAUAUUUGCAAGUGAUACCCUCGGAGUUGGAAAUUGUGAAACAAGAGUUCGAGAGAAAGAAUUUGGAGCUCGAGAAGAAAAUAGCGAAGCUCAAAGAGGAAAAGAUGUAUUUGAGCCUAGAUGUUGAUGUUCAAAAGAUGGAGAUCGAGAAAGAGAGAAAAGAAAAGAAGAAGAUCGAAGAAGAUCGAGAUGAUUUGAAGGAGCAUUACAAAAAGGCACAAAUAUCCUUGAAGAGAGCAAGAGUAGAAGGGGCUUCAGACCAGCUGCAGAAAGAGAUCCAAGAAGAAAAAGUUAGAGCCCAGUAUUGGGAAAGGAAGUAUCAGGAGAUGCAGUCGCAGAGUUUGGCAUUAGAGGAAGAAAAUAAAGAUUUGAAGUCCAAGGUAGCUGAGCUUGGAAGAUCUCUUCGUUGGCAUCAAAACCAUGAUUCUACGGUCGAGUUACGGGAACUAAAAAAUAAGGUGGAAGAUUUGGAAGUGGCGUUACAUGAUGGUGAAAUUCGGAUCGAGCAGCUCGAGGCACAAGAGGAUUAUCUAAAGGAAGAGCUUUAUCAGUCUAGAGGGCAAGUCAGAGAGAGGGAUUACAUCAUUGGUGAAGCCAUAGCCUAGAUUCGAGAGGUUGCUGAAUAUGUACGAGACUUAGCAAUACGAGCUGAUGUAUUGAGUCUGAUGUAUGAAUCGUCGUCAGGCAUAGGACGAGAGUUAGCCCUUUUGUUAGAUAGAGUUAAAACUUUGGGCAUUAGGGCAAAAGCGUAUUUGUAAUCCUCUUAUAUGUAAAGACAUUCUUUUUCUAAAUAAAGGUUUCUAAACGAAGUUGAACCAGAAUUGAUACUCUUAUUGCAUUCAUGCAUUUGCAUCUCAUAGCAUUACAUCAUAUCAUAUGCAUUCAAGGUUAUAGAAAGACCCUAAUUAGUUAAAGUUUCUUUAUAAAGGUAGAAAAGAAAAUCUGGAAAUUACACAUCCUUACGGCACUCGCACUAAAACUAAAAACAUGGAUCAAAGGUUUGAACAAUUGCAAAAAGAUAUGCAAGACCAGUUGCAAGAGAAGUUGGCCAAAAUGCAGAAUGAGAUGAAGGAGCAAAUGUUGGAAGCUCAGAGGAACAUGAUGGCCGAAAUGGCUCAGCUAUUGAGGGCCACUGAUAAGGGAAAGGCUCCUAUGGCCAUUGUUGAAGAGGAAAAUGAGGGUCCUCCUCCAGGUUUUACUCUACCUCAUGUGCCAUUGCAAACUGAGGCACUUCCUAGAAGACCAUCUGUCACUGUGAGGCCUCAACAUGGGCCAAUUGAUACUGGUAUCCAUAUGAAUUUCCCGGCUGGUUCAGAAUUUAAUUUGGGUGACAAUCCUACUAAUCCUCUCGUUCCUGACCUAGAUAUGGUGAAAAAGGAGGAUUUGAAAGCAGAAGCUGCAAGGCAAUUAGAUGAACGCUGCAGAUGGCUAGAAGAAAAGUUCAAGACUUUAGUAGGCACUAGCAAUCAUUAUGGGAUUGACGCCAAAGAUUUAAGUCUAGUCCCAAACCUAGUGCUGCCUCAUAAAUUCAAAAUGCCAAAAUUUGAAAAGUACAAUGGUACUACUUGCCCAGAGGCCCACAUCACAAUGUUCUGCAGAAGGAUGACGGGGUAUGUAAACAAUGAUCAGUUGUUGGUCCAUUGUUUUCAAGAUAGUUUAGUGGGAGCAGCAGCCAGGUGGUACAAUCAGCUGAGCCGGGCUAGAAUAAAUUCGUGGAGGGAUCUUGCACAAGCCUUCAUGCAAUAGUACAACCAUGUGACUGAUAUGACGCCGGACAGGACCACACUUCAGAAUAUGGAGAAAAAGCCUAAUGAAAGUUUUAGGCAAUAUGCACAACGAUGGAGGGAGAUGGCAAUGCAAGUACAACCACCCUUGUUAGAAAAGGAAACCACCAUGUUAUUUAUCAACACUUUGAAAGCGCCGUUCAUCACUCACAUGAUUGGAAGCACCACGAAAAGUUUUGCGGAUAUAGUUAUGGUAGGGGAGAUGAUUGAGAACGCCAUAAGGGGCGGUAAAAUUGAUGGGGAAGUGGCCAAAAGAUCGGCCCCAAGAAGAAAAGACAAUGAGGUGAACAACACAAGCAGUUUCAAUUCGAAAGUAGUCACGGUUAGUCAGCCCAAAGUAGCCCCAGUUGGGCAACAGGGCUCUCAAAAGUAGGAAUCUAGCACUAGGCUUGAGAGGAUGUAAUUUACACCUAUACCUGUGACGUAUCGGGAGCUUUAUCAAAACUUAUAUGAUGCGCAUGCUAUAGUCCCUUUCCACUUGAAACCAUUACAGCCUCCAUAUCCUAAAUGAUAUGAUGCAAAUGCCAGGUGUGAGUAUCAUGCUGGAAUAUCAGGGCACUCAAUUGAGAAUUGUACUGGAUUCAAGAAAGCCGUAGAGAGGUUGAUCUAGAAUGGGGUUUUAAAAUUUGAGAGUACUUUAAAUACUGAGAACCCUUUGCCGAACCAUGACAAUCAAGGAGUGAAUGCCAUUGUUGAAGCCGGUGGAAAAAAGGGGAAGGAAAAUGUUGCUGAAGUAAGGAUGCCUUUAAAAGUAAUCUGGAAAGAGAUGGUAAAGAAAGGGAUAAUAACCUCUGAGAAAGAAGGAAACGAAACAAAGAACUACUGCGAGUUCCAUGGGAAGGAGGGUCAUGAGACCCAAAAUUGUGAAGAAUUUAAAGCCCUGGUGCAAGGUCUCAUUGACAAUAAAGAGCUACAGAUUUUUGAAGAUAGCUCUUAUAAACGAGAAAUAAAUGCAUUAGAAAGAGAACAACAAGGAACCAAUCGGCCAAGAAUUAUUAUUUCCUUGCCAGGGAAUAAUGAAGUGGGGGCGCAAAACAGACCCAAAGUGGUCAUCCAUAAGCCCACGCCUUUCCCCUACAAAGAUGACAAUAGGGUACCAUGGAGUUACGACUGCAGUGUAACAGUACCCAAAGAAGAGAGUAUAACCAGUGCAUCUAAGGAUUUGCAGAAUGAAAGUUCCUUUACAAGAAGUGAGAAACGUUAUGAUGAGGGGGAUAUCAGAGUGGAGCCCACAAAAACAAAAGAAAUUGAUGUUGAGAAAAGGAAAAAGACUGAAAUACCCAUCAAUGAACUGGUAAGAGAGGAAGAGGCUAAGGAAUUUUUGAAGUUCCUUAAGCAUAGUGAAUAUAAUGUGGUCGAGCAGUUGCGUAAGCAACCAGCGCGCAUAUCAGUAUUAGCCUUGCUUCUAAGUUCUGAGGUGCAUCGGGAGGAAUUGUUCAAGGUACUUAACGAGACAUAUGUCACCCACGACAUAUCUGUCAAUAAGUUGGACCGGUUGGUAAACAACAUCAGUGUUGACAAUUUCAUUUAUUUUAAUGAUGAUGAAAUUCCACCUGGGGGCAUAGGGUCAACCAAAGCCCUAUACAUUACUACUCGGUGCAAAGGAUACACACUUCCAAGUGUACUCAUAGAUAAUGGGUCUGCUUUGAACGUCCUGCCACUAUCCACCUUGAACAGAUUGCCCAUUGACAGUUCGCAUAUGAAAACGUGUCAUAAUGUGGUAAGAGCCUUUGAUAGAACCGAAAGAAAAGUAAUAGGACGAAUUGACAUCCCUCUGGAGAUUGACCGAAUACGUAUGAAGUUGAUUUCCUAGUGAUGGAUAUCAAGCCCUCCUACAAUUGUUUAUUGGAGAGACCAUGAAUACACUCGGCAGGAGCGGUGCCCUCUUCAUUGCACCAAAAAUUGAAGUUAGUGACAAAUGGUCGCUUAAUAACCAUCAAUGUGGAAGAGGACAUCAUAGCAGCGGUUACCAGUAAGGCCCCUUAUGUUGAGGCAAAUGAAGAGGCCAUUGAAUGUUCUUUCCGCUCUUUAGAAGUUAUUAAUGCCACCUUCAUUUUGGAAGGAAGCGAAAUGCCGGUACCCAAAAUGUUUGGAGCCACGAGGAUGGCCCUACAAAUGAUGAUGGGGAAAGGAGCAUUGCCGGGAAAAGGGCUAGGAAGAUAGUUGCAAGGAGGGGUUCAAAUCCUAAAACUGAUUGAGAAAAAUGACCGUUUUGUCUUGGGCUUCAAGCCAGACCACAAGCACAAAAGGCAGGAAAUAGAGAAGCGCCAAGCGAGAAGAAAUGCGCAUUUGAAUGGAAGAGAAGUCGAGUGGGAAUCGAUGACAUUCCCACCUAUAUCCAAAUCCUUUAAAUCAGGAGGACUGCUGAUAAAAGAAAGUCAACAAGUUAAUGCUAUACACAAUGAGGGAUCGGAGCAAGGAAACCUUGAGGGCAUUCGCCCUUACGAACCGAGGAGCUCUCUGAAUAAUUGGACUGCGGAGGACCUUCCUGUAGUCUUUAGAAAUUUUUCAGAGUAAUUCUCGAAACAUGUCUAUUACUCUAGGACUAGGAGUAGUAAGAUUACAUUUGUGAAAAUAGGCCUAUGUUCAUCUAUAAUUAUUUAAAUAAAACAUAACUUUUAUCAAUUUGAACGAGUAUUGUUUCAUUUUUAUCGACCAAUAUUCCUUUAAAUUUUGGUAAUCCCUAUUCUUUUAUUCAUAGUACAUAAACAGUCAUUCUUAGAUUCAUUCAUUCUUUGUAUAUUCUUUCAUACUCCCACAGGUCCCUAGAUAUCAAUGAUAUGAGUACUGAUACUACAGCUCCUAAUUUCUCUUACGAGCAAGACAUGUGUUUAGAGGAACCUCAGGAUUUUGAAGAUGUUCAAGAUUGUGACGUAUCUCUUGAUCUGUUAAGGAUGGUAAAGCAGGAGGAGAAACAAAUCAUGCCCCAUGAGAAAGAGGCAAUAGAGAAUAUAGCCCUAGAGGAAGGGAAUGAGCUGAAAAUCGGAACCCUAAUUGGCGAGAACACAAGACAUGGUUUGGUUGAGUUGCUUCGAGAGUUCAAGGAUAUCUUCGCCUGGUCAUAUCAGGAUAUGCCUGGAUUGAGUACUGACAUUGUAGUACAUCGUCUUCCGAUAAGACAAGAUUGCAAACCAGUCCAACAGAAGUUGAGGAGAAUGCGUCCAGAUAUUAUUCUGAAAAUAAAAGAUGAAGUUAAGAAGCAGUUUGACGCAGGAUUCUUGCAAGAAGUGAAGUACUCCGAAUGGGUAGCUAACAUUGUGCCCGUUCCUAAGAAUGAUGGAAAGGUACGAAUGUGUGUUGAUUACAGAGAUCUGAACAAAGCAAGCCCGAAGGAUAAUUUUCCUUUGCCACACAUUGACACUUUAGUAGACAACACAGCAGGGUAUUCGUUGUUCUCUUUCAUGGAUGGUUUCUCAGGAUAUAAUCAGAUAAAGAUGCAUUCAGAAGACAUGGAUAAGACUACCUUCAUAACCUUAUGGGGCACCUUUUGCUAAAAAGUAAUGCCAUUUGGAUUGAAGAACGCAGGGGCAACAUACCAAUGAGCUAUGGUAAAUUUAUUCCACGACAUGAUACAUAAAGAUAUUGAGGUAUACGUUGAUGAUAUGAUCGCCAAGUCGUAAACAAAAAAAGAACACGUCGAGGUCUUAAGAAGAUUGUUCUUAAGGUUGAGAAAAUUUCAGUUGAAGCUCAAUCCAGCGAAAUACACCUUUGGGGCCAGAUCGGGAAAGUUAUUAGGCUUCGUAGUCAGUGAAAAGGGAAUUGAAGUUGACUCAGACAAGGUCAGAGCCAUACGAGAGUUGCCUCUGCCACGUACUCAGAAGGAAGUUCGAGGAUUCCUAGGAAGGUUGAACUACAUCGCUCGGUUCAUUUCACAAUUGACUGUAUUUAUCAGUGUUCAGUAAUUCUAUGGGAUGUGUGCUUGGUCAACAUGACAAGAUGGGGAAAAGGGAGAAGGCAAUUUAUUAUCUCAGUAAAAAAUUCACUGACUGUGAAAUGAGAUAUUCACCAAUUGAAAAGUUGUGUUGUGCGCUAAUCUGGACCUCCCGAAGAUUAAGACAGUACAUGUUAUACCAUACCACUUGGCUCAUCUCAAAAUUGGAUCCAUUGAAAUACAUGAUGGAGUCAACGGCUUUAAAUGGAAGAAUGGCGAGAUGGCAAAUUUUACUUUCAGAGUUUGAUAUAGUCUAUGUAAGUCAGAAAGCUAUAAAAGGAAGUGUGGUAGCUGAUUUCUUGGCUAGUCGAGCUCUAGAGGAUUAUGAGCCAUUGAACUUUAAUUUUCCAAAUGAGGAAUUAAUAUGUAUAGCAAUGACUGAAAAUUAUCCAUGGAGGCUUAAUUUUGAUGGGGCUUCUAAUGCAGUUGGGAAUGGAAUUGGGGCAGUCUUGGUAUCCCCUAAUGGCGAUCAUUACCCAUUCACGUGCAAGUUAGACUUUGAUUGCGCAAAUAAUAUGGCUGAGUAUGAAGCAUGCAUCAUGGGACUCCUAGCAGCCAUAGAAAGAGGCAUAAAAACCCUAGAAGUAUAUGGAGAUUCUGCGUUGGUAAUCUAUCAGCUAAGAGGUGAAUGGGAGACAAGGGACCCUAAAUUGAUCAAUUAUCGAAAGAUAGUUUUGGGGUUACUUGAGGAGUUUGAUGAUAUCACCUUUAAUUAUCUCCCACGAGAUGAAAAUCAGAUGGCAGAUGCUCUAGCAACCUUGGCCUCAAUGAUUAAGGUAAAUAAAGAGGAAAAGAUGAGACCAAUUCAAAUGAGUGUUUAUGAAGCUCUAGCUAGCUGUUGUAACCUUGAAGAGGAGGAAAAGGAUGAUAAUCCUUAGUAUCAUGAUAUAUUGCGAUAUGUAAGAGAUCGUAAAUAUCUAGAAAAGGCAACCGAAAAUGACAAACGAACUUUGAGAAGGUUAGCUUGCGACUAUGUCUUGGACAGGGAUGUCCUGUACAAGAGAAGGAAAGACCAAGUACUUUUGAGAUGUGUCGAUGCUGUGGAAGCCAAGCUAAUUCUAGAGGAGGUUCAUGAAGGUGUAUGUGGUACCCAUGCAAACGGGUUCACGAUGGCAAGGAAAAUCAUGAGGUUUGGCUAUUACUGGGCCACUAUGGAAGGAGACUGCAUCAACUAUGCCAAAAAAUGCCAUAAGUGUCAGAUUUAUGGGGACAAAAUUCAUGUAUCGCCUUCACCUUUACAUGUCAUGACUUCUCCAUGGCCUUUCUCCAUGUGGGGCAUGGAUGUUAUCGGACCUAUAUCACCGAAAGCUUCGAAUGGACAUCAGUUUAUCUUCGUGGUAAUUGACUACUUUACAAAGUGAGUAGAGGCCGCCUCUUAUGCGAAUGUGACCAAAUCAGCUGUGAGUCAAUUUUUGAAGAAGGAAAUCAUUUUUCGGUAUGGAAUGCCUGAGAAGAUCAUAUCUGACAAUGCAUUGAACUUGAACAACAAAACGAUAGCGGAGGUUUGCGACCAAUUCAAGAUCAAGCAUCACAAUUCUUCCCCCUACCGUCCAAAAAUGAAUGGGGCAGUGGAGGCCGCUAAUAAGAACAUUAAGAAAGUAGUGGGAAAGAUGACUGAGACUUAUUGAGACUGGCAUGAGAAAUUACCGUUUGCACUCCUCGCUUAUCAGACAUCUGUCAGAACUUCUACUGGGGUAACUCCGUUCUCGCUAGUUUAUGGGAUGGAAGUAGUGUUACCUAUUGAAGUAGAAAUACCUUCUCUUCGAAUUUUGAUGGAGGAAAAGUUAGAUGAAGCUGAGUGGAUUCAAUCCCGAUAUGAUCAAUUAAACUUAAUUGAAGAAAAGAGGCUAAAAGCCAUUCGACAUGGUCAGAUGUAUCAGAAGCGAAUGAUGCGAGCUUAUGACAAGAAAGUUUGACCAAGAGAAUUCCAUGAGAGAGACCUUGUACUGAAAAAGAUCCUUCCUAUUCAAAAAGAUUUUAGAGGAAAAUGGAUGUCGAAUUGGGAAGGGCCGUAUGUCGUGAAGAAAGCUUUCUCUAGUGGUGCAUUGAUCUAAGCGGAAAUGGAUGGGAAAAGUUUACCCAAUCCAGUGAACUCGGACUCAGUUAAAAAAAUACUUUGUCUAAAGAAGAAGAGAAUCUAAGGUGAAAACCCGCAAAGGGCACCCUGUGACCAAAGGGAUUUUGAGUUGAAAACCCGAAAGGGCAGCUCAAAUAUGGAAGGGCAUACGGUAAUCUUGCUAUUAUUUGAUACAACAAAGAGCGAAGAACGCUGCACACUGGGGCAUCAACAGAGUACUUGGGAUCUUUUUAACACAUGUUGAAUUCAAGAAAGACUUCAUAGAGCUGGUGUAUAGGCACUCAAGCGGCAAUAUCUAGAGGAUAUAACUUCUGUCUUGCUUGCUAUAUUUAGAUUUUGUUUCUUCUAGAAGAUAGGCUAGCAGAUUAAUUCCCUUUUGUAUUUUUUUUUCAAAUCUAAUUAUUCUUAAAAAUUUAUUCGUCUUUCACUAUUCUUUAAGUAUGUUGCAUUGAAAUAAUGAUAGAUGAACUAGAAUAUUUUCACGAACAAAGUUUUGCUAAUUACUUUGGAAUUUCUAGAUAAUGCAAGAAACUAAAACAGGACAAUUGUUCGAGAAAUUCACGUAAGUAAGGGAUGAAGAAACUUGAGGAAUUUCUUUCUUCCAGUCCAAAAGGAAAAUGGACAAAACCAAUGAUUCAAUUCUUACAGACAUCCUCAGUAGAUUGUAGUAUUGGAGGAAGACCUACAGGCUGAGCAAGAAUGAAGGAAUGAAUGGUGGCACCUAGGAUAGGGGUCAUAUUCACAGCAUUCUGCAUCAUAACACGUUUAAUUAGGAACAUUCAACUCACUUCGUGCAUAGCAUCCUAAUUAUCAGGCAUAAUGAUUCCACAGGUUAUCGAAGACGACGUGCUUUAAUCCCCUAAACAGCAGGGUAAUAAGCCAUAGCAUAGCAGAUUUGACUCUCAGACGUUCUCAGAUAUAGCAGAUCUAACCUUCAGAUGUUUAUACUGAAACAGAUCCAAGGUGAUUUGGUAUUCUUGUGUUUACAAGGAACAAAUCGAGGACAUAGCAGAUUUGACUCUCAGACGUUCUCAGAUAUAGCAGAUUUAACCUUCAGAUGUUUAUACUGAAGCAAAUCCAAGAUGAUUUGGUAUUCUUGUGUUUACAAGAAACAAAUCGAGGACAUAGCAAAUUUGACUCUCAGAUGUUCUCAGAUAUAACAGAUCUAACCUUCAGAUGUUUAGACUGAAGCAGAUCCAAGAUGAUUUGGUAUUCUUGUGUUACAAGGAACACAUCGAGGACAUAGCAGAUUUGACUCUCAGAUGUUCUCAAAUAUAGCAGAUCUAACCUUCAGAUGUUUAUACUGAAGCAAGAUCCAAGAUGAUUUGGCAUUCUUGUGUUUACAAGAAACAAAUCGAGGACAUAGCAGAUUUGACUUUCAAAUGUUCUAAAACAGACUCAAGAUGGUUUGGCAUCAUUGUGCUUACAAGGAACAAAUCGAAGACAUAGUUAAUUUGGCUUUCACGUGUUUACGAUAAAGUAAAUCUAAGAUGAUUUGUCGUCUCUGUGUUGUCAGAGAACAAAUCGAAGCCAGGCAUCUCCACUUCAACGGGGAGCAGAUACAUAGUAGGUCAUACCUUUAGAUAAUUUCACUGAAGCUAGAUCCAAGAUGAUUUGGCAUCUCUACAAAUUGAAGAAGUGGAUUUUGCAUCUCUAUAUUCGGCGGGGAGCAGAUCGAAAAUUCAAGGUUUGGCGAGCCCGGGCAAAAUUGAUUCUUUUAUAUCUUUGCUCUAUUCCUGUUAUACAACCAUGAGCAAAGAGGGGUAGGUGUAAUACCUCAAUUUUGCCCGGCCCAUGGGAAACCAAAGCAUAAUCCAAAAUUUCAAAAUAAUAAUACAAGUCUCUUAACAGUCCUUUUACAAAUGUUAAAACCCAAUAACCCACCUAAAACUUACCCAAUACAAAAGCCCAUACCCGGUUACAACCCAAUAGCCAGAUCAGUACCUAGACUAGCCAAAUUUAAACCAAGCCCAAACAAUUGCAACCCAAACCCUAUUACACCCGUGACCCAAAGAACCUAAAUCGGCCCAAACAAAUCAGACCCAAUAAGCUGCACCCCAAAAGCCCGAACGCUUAACCCUAGGUCAGGAACCCUAGGGUUUCUGCAUCUUUCAGCGCCGUAAGUUGUGCAGGGCCGUUCCAACUCCCGAAGCAAGAGCCAUCAAUGCCCCUGUCCCCCACGUCACCUCAGCUGGCCCUAAUCAAUGAGUUGUCCAGAAACGUCGAGGUACUCCGAGAGUCACCACUGUCGGUGCACCGUAAUCUCAGGCCUCAUACCUCCGUUAACGCCGAGAUCGUCGGGAUACCUGCAAAAUGAAAAAAGAAAUACAGCAGAUGCGAACAAAUAGAGCAAGAAAGAGGAAACUGAAACAAAAAAAUCUCAGUAUAUCAAGGACAAAGAUACGGUGGAUGCAGUAGACAAAAAAUGGAAAGAAAAUCAGAGAUUUCUUUCCCAGCUUAUGUAAUUAAUCAGUGGCUAUAAAAAGCCCCUUUCUAACCUUUAUAACAUUUUUACAGAGAGACAGAAAUAAAAAAAGAGAUAUACAAAAAAAAAUUAGUAAACAAACAGACGAACAGAGGUGAUAUUUCAUUUUCUUUCCUUUCGAUAUUUAUGGUUUUUUGGUACAAUACAUAACAAAAUACUUUAAAAAGAAGCAGCAAAAGGUUACCCUUCGAUUCAUCGCGAAGAGAUAGGGUUUUGAAAGCCCUAACCGCCGGGUUUCAAGACCCAGACGGUGGCGCGUGAGGCGUGUUAGGCCGAAGGCGGUGGUGCUCCGGGACGAGCUAGGAUGGCCACAGGCCAGAGCUAUGAGGGAAUUUAGUUUCCUUUCUUUGUUUUUUUUAUGAGUGUUUAAAAUGA